This is a long non-coding RNA of Cannabis sativa, 478 nucleotides long. RefSeq lists it as uncharacterized. The transcript has 2 exons. Lineage: Eukaryota; Viridiplantae; Streptophyta; Magnoliopsida; Rosales; Cannabaceae. The record is from RefSeq and is a predicted model, not a curated record.
CGAAGCUUUAACGUCCAAAACGAAAAUCCAAAAUUUUGGACUCCAUUAAAGACGGUACACCGCCAACGAAGAAGACAACCCCGAUCUGCCUUCUCGGACCACUUUUCUUGAUCGUUUUGAGGUCCUGAGCAUUGUGGAGAGCUUCCCCAAUCGAAAGGACGCUUCAAGAGCAAUCGGAGACAAAGUUACACUUUACCGGCGACGAAACCGACGAGAACGCCGGCGACCGCGUUCUGACCGUUUCUGAGGUAAGGGUAAGGCUAAGCAGUGAGAAUGAAGAGCUCGAGGCGUGGACCGCAUGUUAGGGGGGCUGGCACAGUAUUUUGCUUUUAAUGUUUUUAACUGCUAAACAUUUUGGAACUAUUAUUUUGACUUAACUAGUUCUUAUUUAAGUUUACAGUACUAAAAGAAUUUUGUUUUAAACAAUGAGAUCUCAUGCUUGGAUAUUUUUCAAUAAAGAAGUAUUUGUUUGUCUUUA